Non-coding RNA from Streptomyces sp., 63 nucleotides. Lineage: Bacteria; Bacillati; Actinomycetota; Actinomycetes; Kitasatosporales; Streptomycetaceae. The record is from Rfam.
CGCCCGGCCGGAUCCCGUGGGGGGAAUCCGCUCGGGACACAGGAAAGCGCCCCGAGCAUCGGC